This 512-nucleotide ribosomal RNA is filed under the name uncultured bacterium. RNAcentral describes it as "partial 16S ribosomal RNA". It matches the Rfam family "Bacterial small subunit ribosomal RNA", at positions 30 to 523 of the family's 1533-position model. The record is from RNAcentral.
AUUGAACGCUGGCGGCGUGCUUAACACAUGCAAGUCGAACGCGAAAGGGACUUCGGUCCUGAGUAAAGUGGCGCACGGGUGAGUAACACGUGGAUAAUCUGCCCUUAUGAUUGGAAUAACAGUUGGAAACGGCUGCUAAUACCGGAUACGCUCAAAAUGAACUUUUUGAGGAAAGAUGGCCUCUGCUUGCAUGCUAUCGCAUAAGGAUGAGUCCGCGUCCCAUUAGCUUGUUGGCGGGGUAACGGCCCACCAAGGCAACGAUGGGUAGCCGAUUUGAGAGGAUGAUCGGCCACACUGGAACUGAAACACGGUCCAGACUCCUACGGGAGGCAACAGUGGGGAAUAUUGCGCAAUGGGCGAAAGCCUGACGCAGCGACGCCGCGUGAGGGAUGAAGGUUUUCGGAUCGUAAACCUCUGUCAGAAGGGAAGAAACUACGCUGUGCUAAUCAGCAGCGUACUGACGGUACCUUCAAAGGAAGCACCGGCUAACUCCGUGCCAGCCGCCGCCGUAA